Molecule: unclassified non-coding RNA, 296 nt
Filed under: Hevea brasiliensis (rubber tree)
Lineage: Eukaryota; Viridiplantae; Streptophyta; Magnoliopsida; Malpighiales; Euphorbiaceae
Source: RNAcentral
UCUAUUUAUCAUUGCCUUUAGUUUUCUCAAUUACGCCAUGCGUUGCCUCCUUUCGUGUGUUUGUUAAUUUUGUGCUUAUGUAAUUAAUUUAAUACUUAUGUAUAUAAAAAACUAAAAAUAUGGUGUUAUGACUUGUGUGAUUCGGGUAUUGCUUUGGCUCCUUGGCAAACUUGCCUUUCAUGGAAAUUUGGCAAUGUUUUAUAAGUGAUACUUGAACCACAACUAUGGAUUGAAUUUCCUCAAUUUGAUCUUAGCCUUUUUUGAUACUGAAUUACAGAUACACUCUAGCAACAAUG